UGGUCACUCACUGGACAGCCACUGAG
This 26-nucleotide non-coding RNA is filed under the name Mus musculus (house mouse). The record is from RNAcentral. Lineage: Eukaryota; Metazoa; Chordata; Mammalia; Rodentia; Muridae.